RNAcentral lists this transfer RNA (72 nucleotides) under Mycoplasma sp. RNAcentral's name for it is "tRNA-Cys". It matches the Rfam family "tRNA". From Rfam's summary of the family: Transfer RNA (tRNA) molecules are approximately 80 nucleotides in length. Their secondary structure includes four short double-helical elements and three loops (D, anti-codon, and T loops). Further hydrogen bonds mediate the characteristic L-shaped molecular structure. tRNAs have two regions of fundamental functional importance: the anti-codon, which is responsible for specific mRNA codon recognition, and the 3' end, to which the tRNAs corresponding amino acid is attached (by aminoacyl-tRNA synthetases). tRNAs cope with the degeneracy of the genetic code in two manners: having more than one tRNA (with a specific anti-codon) for a particular amino acid; and 'wobble' base-pairing, i.e. permitting non-standard base-pairing at the 3rd anti-codon position. Lineage: Bacteria; Bacillati; Mycoplasmatota; Mollicutes; Mycoplasmatales; Mycoplasmataceae. RNAcentral also lists the same sequence under 1 other name. The record is from RNAcentral.
GACAGUGUUGCCGAAUGGUUAGGCGCAAGAUUGCAAAUCUUGUCUAUGUCAGUUCGAAUCUGAUCGCUGUCU